Molecule: ribosomal RNA, 496 nt
Filed under: uncultured bacterium
Lineage: Bacteria
Description: partial 16S ribosomal RNA
Rfam family: Bacterial small subunit ribosomal RNA
Source: RNAcentral
ACGAACGCUGGCGGCGUGCCUAAUACAUGCAAGUCGAGCGGACGAAUCGAAAGCUUGCUUUUGAUUCGUUAGCGGCGGACGGGUGAGUAACACGUGGGCAACCUGCCCUGUAGACGGGGAUAACACCGAGAAAUCGGUGCUAAUACCGGAUAACACGAAAUGUCGCAUGACGUUUCGUUGAAAGACGGCGCAAGCUGUCGCUACAGGAUGGGCCCGCGGCGCAUUAGCUAGUUGGUGAGGUAACGGCUCACCAAGGCGACGAUGCGUAGCCGACCUGAGAGGGUGAUCGGCCACACUGGGACUGAGACACGGCCCAGACUCCUACGGGAGGCAGCAGUAGGGAAUCUUCCGCAAUGGACGAAAGUCUGACGGAGCAACGCCGCGUGAGCGAAGAAGGCCUUCGGGUCGUAAAGCUCUGUUGUUAGGGAAGAACAAGUAACGCAGUAACUGGCGUUACCGUGACGGUACCUAACGAGAAAGCCACGGCGAACUACGU